AAGACUAUAGACCUGCGGAGUACCUGCGGAAGGAUCAUUAACGUAUCUAUGAUGGGGUGCGGAGCGCCCUGCUCCGGUCGAACGGCCGUGCAGCGGGUGCGCCGCCCCCGUCCCACCUCACAAACCCACUGUGAACAUUCACCGGUGGAGGGGGCUCGGUCUGCGCCGAGUCCCCGAUGCCGAAUACCCAAACUCCAGUUGCAAAGAACGUCGUGCGGACUCGGUGCCGCCUAAAACAUG
This 240-nucleotide unclassified non-coding RNA is filed under the name soil metagenome. RNAcentral describes it as "partial contains 5.8S ribosomal RNA, internal transcribed spacer 2, and large subunit ribosomal RNA". The record is from RNAcentral.